Molecule: ribosomal RNA, 976 nt
Filed under: Exiguobacterium sp. E1(2015)
Lineage: Bacteria; Bacillati; Bacillota; Bacilli; Caryophanales
Description: bacterial SSU rRNA
Rfam family: Bacterial small subunit ribosomal RNA
Source: RNAcentral
GAAAGUCUGAUGAGGCACGUCGCGUGAGUUAUGAAGGUUUCGGAUCGUAAAGUCUGUGUAAGGGAGGACACGUCCGAGAGGAAUGCUCUGCCUGGCGGUACCUUCGAGAAGACACGGCUAACUACGUGCCAGCAGCCGCGCUAAUACGUAGGUGGCAAGCGUGUCCGGAAUUAUUGGGCGUAAAGCGCGCGCAGACGCCCUUUUAAGUCUGAUGUGAAAGCCUCCGGCUCAUCCGGGGAGGGCCACUGGAAACUGGAAGGAUUGAGUACAGAAGAGAAGAGGGGAGUUCCACGUGUAGCGGUGAAAUGCGUAGAGAUGUGGAGGAACACCAGUGGCGAAGACGACUCUUUGGUCUGUAACUGACGCUGAGGCGCGAAAGCGUCGGGAGCAAACACGAUUAGAUACCCUGGUAGUCCACGCCGUAAACGAUGAGUGCUAGGUGCUGGGGGGUUUCCGCCCCUCAGUGCUGAAGCUAACGCAUUAAGCACUCCGCCUGGGGAGUACGGCCGCAAGGCUGAAACUCAAAGGAAUUGACGGGGACCCGCACAAGCGGUGGAGCAUGUGGUUUAAUUUGAAGCAACGCGAAGAACCUUACCAACUCUUGACAUCCCAUUGACCGCUUGAGAGAUCAAGUUUUCCCUUCGGGGACAAUGGUGCCAGGUGGUGCAUGGUUGUCGUCAGCUCGUGUCGUGAGAUGUUGGGUUAAGUCCCGCAACGAGCGCAACCCCUAUCUUUAGUUGCCACCAUUGAGUUGGGCACUUUAGGGAGACUGCCGGUGACAAACCGGAGGAAGGUGGGGAUGACGUCAAAUCAUCAUGCCCCUUAUGAGCUGGGCUACACACGUGCUACAAUGGUCGGUACAAAGGGCAGCGAGACCGCGAGGUGGAGCCAAUCCCAUAAAGCCGUUCCCAGUUCGGAUUGCAGUCUGCAACUCGCCUGCAUGAAGUCGGAAUCGCUAGUAAUCGCAGGUCAGCAU